GCGUGACGGCGCGAGCAGGUGCGAAAGCAGGUCAUAGUGAUCCGGUGGUUCUGAAUGGAAGGGCCAUCGCUCAACGGAUAAAAGGUACUCCGGGGAUAACAGGCUGAUACCGCCCAAGAGUUCAUAUCGACGGCGGUGUUUGGCACCUCGAUGUCGGCUCAUCACAUCCUGGGGCUGAAGUAGGUCCCAAGGGUAUGGCUGUUCGCCAUUUAAAGUGGUACGCGAGCUGGGUUUAGAACGUCGUGAGACAGUUCGGUCCCUAUCUGCCGUGGGCGCUGGAGAACUGAGGGGGGCUGCUCCUAGUACGAGAGGACCGGAGUGGACGCAUCACUGGUGUUCGGGUUGUCAUGCCAAU
This 355-nucleotide ribosomal RNA is filed under the name Escherichia coli. RNAcentral's name for it is "partial 23S ribosomal RNA". It matches the Rfam family "Bacterial large subunit ribosomal RNA", at positions 2379 to 2733 of the family's 2925-position model. Lineage: Bacteria; Pseudomonadati; Pseudomonadota; Gammaproteobacteria; Enterobacterales; Enterobacteriaceae. The record is from RNAcentral.